UUUGGACUUAAUUGGCUGUGAAGCACAUGAAAACUUUGUAGUUAAGCAUGCUGAUAUGGGAGUAGUACUAGGAUGGGUGACCUCCUGGGAAGUCUCCACCGGGUGACCAAAA
RNAcentral lists this ribosomal RNA (112 nucleotides) under Helianthus annuus (common sunflower). Lineage: Eukaryota; Viridiplantae; Streptophyta; Magnoliopsida; Asterales; Asteraceae. The record is from RNAcentral.